RNAcentral lists this ribosomal RNA (253 nucleotides) under uncultured bacterium. RNAcentral describes it as "partial 16S ribosomal RNA". It matches the Rfam family "Bacterial small subunit ribosomal RNA", at positions 524 to 776 of the family's 1533-position model. The record is from RNAcentral.
UACGUAGGUGGCAAGCGUUGUCCGGAUUCAUUGGGCGUAAAGAGCUCGUAGGCGGCUGUUCAAGUCGAACGUGAAAACUCGGAGCUCAACUCCGAGCCUGCGUUCGAUACUGGACGGCUAGAGUCUGGUAGGGGGAUCUGGAAUUCCUGGUGUAGCGGUGGAAUGCGCAGAUAUCGGGAGGAACACCAGUGGCGAAGGCGAUCUUCUGGACGGAUACUGACGCUGAGGCGCGAAAGCUAGGGGAGCAAACGGG